This 73-nucleotide transfer RNA is filed under the name Camelus bactrianus (Bactrian camel). It matches the Rfam family "tRNA". Rfam says of the family: Transfer RNA (tRNA) molecules are approximately 80 nucleotides in length. Their secondary structure includes four short double-helical elements and three loops (D, anti-codon, and T loops). RNAcentral also lists the same sequence under 1 other name. Lineage: Eukaryota; Metazoa; Chordata; Mammalia; Artiodactyla; Camelidae. The record is from Rfam by way of RNAcentral.
GAGGGUAUAGCUCAAGUGGUAGAGCAUAUGCUUAGCUUGCAUGUGGCCCUGUGUUCAAUCCCCAGUACCUCCU